Molecule: long non-coding RNA, 91 nt
Organism: Bradysia coprophila
Lineage: Eukaryota; Metazoa; Arthropoda; Insecta; Diptera; Sciaridae
Source: RefSeq, a predicted model, not a curated record
CUCUAGCUGAGGGAGGUGCGGGAAAAUAGGAAAAUAUCUAGUUUUGCUUGCUUUCUCGCGAAUAGCUACUGUUGUGAAAACCCGAUUUUCU